RNAcentral lists this ribosomal RNA (1447 nucleotides) under uncultured organism. Its description in RNAcentral is "16S ribosomal RNA". It matches the Rfam family "Bacterial small subunit ribosomal RNA". The record is from RNAcentral.
CGCUAGCUACAGGCUUAACACAUGCAAGUCGAGGGGCAGCAUGGUCUUAGCUUGCUAAGGCCGAUGGCGACCGGCGCACGGGUGAGUAACGCGUAUCCAACCUGCCUUACACUCUUGGACAGCCUUCUGAAAGGGAGAUUAAUACAAGAUGUUAUCAUGAGUAAGCAUUUUCGCAUGAUUAAAGGUUUACCGGUGUAAGAUGGGGAUGCGUUCCAUUAGAUAGUAGGCGGGGUAACGGCCCACCUAGUCUUCGAUGGAUAGGGGUUCUGAGAGGAAGGUCCCCCACAUUGGAACUGAGACACGGUCCAAACUCCUACGGGAGGCAGCAGUGAGGAAUAUUGGUCAAUGGACGAGAGUCUGAACCAGCCAAGUAGCGUGAAGGAUGAAGGUUCUAUGGAUUGUAAACUUCUUUUAUACGGGAAUAAACGAAUCCACGCGUGGAUUUUUGCAUGUACCGUAUGAAUAAGGAUCGGCUAACUCCGUGCCAGCAGCCGCGGUAAUACGGAGGAUCCGAGCGUUAUCCGGAUUUAUUGGGUUUAAAGGGAGCGUAGAUGGGUUGUUAAGUCAGUUGUGAAAGUUUGCGGCUCAACCGUAAAAUUGCAAUUGAUACUGGCAGUCUUGAGUACAGUUGAGGUAGGCGGAAUUCGUGGUGUAGCGGUGAAAUGCUUAGAUAUCACGAAGAACUCCGAUUGCGAAGGCAGCUUACUAACCUGUAACUGACAUUGAUGCUCGAAAGUGUGGGUAUCAAACAGGAUUAGAUACCCUGGUAGUCCACACGGUAAACGAUGAAUACUCGCUGUAGGCGAUAUACAGUCUGCGGCCAAGCGAAAGCAUUAAGUAUUCCACCUGGGGAGUACGCCGGCAACGGUGAAACUCAAAGGAAUUGGCGGGGGCCCGCACAAGCGGAGGAACAUGUGGUUUAAUUCGAUGAUACGCGAGGAACCUUACCCGGGCUUAAAUUGCAACCGAAUAUGGCGGAAACGCUAUAGCUAGCAAUAGCGGUUGUGAAGGUGCUGCAUGGUUGUCGUCAGCUCGUGCCGUGAGGUGUCGGCUUAAGUGCCAUAACGAGCGCAACCCUUGCCGAUAGUUACUAACAGGUUAUGCUGAGGACUCUGUCGGGACUGCCAUCGUAAGAUGUGAGGAAGGUGGGGAUGACGUCAAAUCAGCACGGCCCUUACGUCCGGGGCUACACACGUGUUGCAAUGGGGGGUACAGAGGGCUGCUACCACGCAAGUGGAUGCCAAUCCCAAAAACCUCUCUCAGUUCGGAUUGAAGUCUGCAACCCGACUUCAUGAAGCUGGAUUCGCUAGUAAUCGCGCAUCAGCCACGGCGCGGUGAAUACGUUCCCGGGCCUUGUACACACCGCCCGUCAAGCCAUGGGAGCCGGGGGUACCUGAAGCGCGUAACCGCAAGGAGCGCCCUAGGGUAAAACUGGUGACUGGGGCUA